GUCCAGGGGCGGGAAUCGAACCCACAACCUUCUGCUUACCGGGCAGGUGCCAUGUCCACUAAGCUACCCUGGA
RNAcentral lists this transfer RNA (73 nucleotides) under Cordylochernes scorpioides. RNAcentral's name for it is "tRNA-Thr". The record is from RNAcentral. Lineage: Eukaryota; Metazoa; Arthropoda; Arachnida; Pseudoscorpiones; Chernetidae.